This 498-nucleotide ribosomal RNA is filed under the name uncultured bacterium. RNAcentral describes it as "bacterial SSU rRNA". It matches the Rfam family "Bacterial small subunit ribosomal RNA", at positions 28 to 518 of the family's 1533-position model. The record is from RNAcentral.
GAUGAACGCUAGCGACAGGCCUAACACAUGCAAGUCGAGGGGCAGCACAUGAGUAGCAAUACGAUGGUGGCGACCGGCGCACGGGUGAGUAACACGUAUGCAACCUGCCUGUAAGAGGGGAAUAACCCGGAGAAAUUCGGACUAAUACCGCAUAAUACCACGAGACUGCAUGGUUUUGUGGUUAAACAUUUAUGGCUUACAGAUGGGCAUGCGUAUGAUUAGAUAGUUGGUAGGGUAACGGCCUACCAAGUCUACGAUCAUUAGGGGUUCUGAGAGGAAGGUCCCCCACACUGGUACUGAGACACGGACCAGACUCCUACGGGAGGCAGCAGUGAGGAAUAUUGGUCAAUGGGCGAGAGCCUGAACCAGCCAAGUCGCGUGAAGGAAGAGGGUUCUAUGGAUUGUAAACUUCUUUUGCAGGGGAAUAAAGGACGGUACGUGUACUGUUUUGUAUGUACCUUGCGAAUAAGGAUCGGCUAACUCCGUGCCAGCAGCCGC